Molecule: long non-coding RNA, 2357 nt
Filed under: Oryzias sinensis (Chinese medaka)
Lineage: Eukaryota; Metazoa; Chordata; Actinopteri; Beloniformes; Adrianichthyidae
Description: lncRNA (ENSOSIG00000003059.1)
Source: RNAcentral
AUGCAUUCAAGAGCGCAGUCAGACAAAGACCUGGGAGCAACCACCCUCACGUGCACCGGACCCCCACCAAAGAGUCAGACCCCCCAGCUGAAGAGCAGGAGGAACAGGGAACGCGUAAAGCCGGAGCUUCUGCUGGGGCAGGGAGCCACCCCAUCCCAAGGCAGGCCAGGACAACCCAUGGUCAGCCCGCACUGCACACUCAUACAACAUGCCCGCCAGCCCUUCCAAGGACAAACCAGGGGAAUCGGCAGAAACCAACUGGGAAGGCGGACAGAGGCGACCAGCAGAGGCCCCAGAUGGGACGGUGAUCCUGAGGACCAGGCUGUAGUUGCUGUGAGCAAUGAUGGAAAAAUUGAGGUACCCUGGUAUGCCUAAGGGGCCCCACCUGCUUCUUAGGGGAUACCAUCUACCCCUGUUCAGAUGUUGGAUGGAUUCCCUCACCGCGUGGGAAAGAGCUGCAAGGUCAGGGGUGCAGGAACCCUUGUGGCACCCCCAAUGCCUUGGCAGCAGACACAAUUCGACCCCACCCAAUCUGGGGGGUGGGAGACUGGGAACAGCAUGGCCAUUGCGAUCUCGCAGUAGUGAUAGCAAUGCUAGCACUUUUAACCACAUGCAGGUCAGACAGUCUUACAGAAUGAGAAGGGGGAGUUAGAGGUGCGUAGUUGCGUCCCAGAAAAUGAGGUUGGCUCAAAGUUGGUUAGUGAGAGUAGCAGUGGCGCUUAGAUCCAGGCGGCAAGGGCGUCGGUGGCGCCUAGUGGCGGGCAGCAAGUGCGGGUAGCCCCAGCGGGCCAUAAUGCCACUCUUGUCAGAGAUUGUUUGUUUUUUAAACAUUGUCUUUGUCAAAUGGUAUUAAAAAGAACGUUAUGAUUUUUUUUUUUUUAUUGCUUGCAAUGCAAAUACAUUCUACAUCUGUGUUUUUUGCAUUUAGAGGAAAACCGGCUGGUGACUCUUGGGUAGAUUGUUGUGUUCGCUUCAGGACCGGACACCAUUCCGCCACUGGGAUUCUCCAGUCACCCAACGCUUACAUUCAUUCAUCAGGAAGGGUUUCCAAUAAUUUUCGAGAGGCGAACACACUGGAUGUUUCCCUACGUCUGCCUUUGCACUCCAGGUACUCUGGUUUUGUGGAUCAAAUGGAGUCUGGGAUAAUCCCAUCCCCCACUUUUGGUUUUGUCUAAUUAUUAUAGGUAGCGCAGCAUCGUUUCUUUAUUCUUUUUAUUUCUUCUUUUUCAAGCUUAUACAAACAAUUUGAAAAUUGAGUAUCUUCAGAAAUAUGUGUAUGGCAAUGCUGGUAAAAGAAUACUGGAGUAAAGAGGCCCAAAGAUCAAAUUGCAUCUCAGCAUUUAAAAAAAAUCUGAAUAAUAAUGAGAGUUAAAAAAAAUUUAAUCAUAUUUAUUUCUUUUCUGCUUUCCAGAAAAGCAAGUCCUGAGGGAUUUUUUUUUUAUUUUGUUCCAGAGAUAAAUUAAUGUUCCAGAGAUAAAUUUCAAGUUUAGGAACAUCCUGUUAAUAGAAAUGUUAUAGUUUAAUGCAGUUUUUUUCAACCUUUUCUGAGCCACGGCACACUUUAACCUUAAAAAAAAUCCCGCGGCACACCAGGAUCCAAAAAUUAAAACAAAAAAAACGGAGAAACUCAUAGUCUGUAUUGAUCUACAGCCCCUCCACAUUGCACAUGCAUUUUUGAGAUAAUUGUUGCAGAAAAAGCUGGAAACUGCAGCUGUUUUUUUCUAAAAGAUGCAAUAAAAGUUAAGUUAGAAGAUUUAAAAACAGUUUGAUGUGUGUUCGUUGGUUUCAAGACGUUUAACAGAUCUCCUUGUGCGCUGUCACUUUCACAACCCAAUGUAUCAUGGGAGAUGUAGUGCAUGAAACGGCCGGCGGAGAUCGCUUUUCGGAGCUUCAUUGUUUUGUUCACUUGUUCCACGGUCUGAUACCGGAUUCUGUGGGAAGCUACACCGAUAAAGACGAGCUUUAGCUGGUAUUUUUGUUAGAACUGAGAGACUUUACGAGCUAAAUCGGGACAAGGAACUGAAGACUUUAACCACUUCUGAUUGGUCAGACUGAUGACAUGUGAUUAAGCUUCCCGAGAAUGAUUGGUGGACAGUUAAAGGGGCGGGACUUUUCCAAAAUACAGCCGGUGUGGGUGCCGGAUGUUCUCAGGUUGCCGGAUGUUCUCGGGGUCCUUCGGGGGUCCUUCCAAUGAAUUAUAUCCAAUGAGUUAUAUCACUAGAGGAGAUAUCACGUGGUUCCUCAUGGGAGGAGAGCACCGCCAUCUUGGUGAGGUCAAGUAACUACUGCAGUUCAUGGAUGUGAACACAUUUUUUGCAUAAUAUAAUAUAUUAUAUAUAUAAAUAUAUUAUAUAUAU